AAAAAUCUUUAUUCUAGGUUAAAAAAUCUUUAUUCUGGGUUUUCGUUGAAGAUCAAUACAAAAUUUUUUAACUUUCUUUUUUUUUUCUUUAUUUUUCAUUCUCUUCUGUUUCUCCUCUGUUUUCCUCCCUUCUCUGUUUCUUUUAACAUAGUUUUUCUAUAUUUUCCGUUUGUUAAAACUAGUCUCUAUACUUUAUUUUGAUAUUGGGUAUUUCUUAUAUGUUCUGUUUAAUCUUCCUUUUAAUUAGUUUUUAAUAUAUUUUCAACUGAGGGUAACAAUUUUGUAUUGCUCUUCAAUGAAAAUCCAAAAUAAAGAUUUUUUUAAUCUUUUUUU
Molecule: long non-coding RNA, 333 nt
Filed under: Gossypium raimondii (Peruvian cotton)
Lineage: Eukaryota; Viridiplantae; Streptophyta; Magnoliopsida; Malvales; Malvaceae
Description: long non-coding RNA (GRAI_LNC009835)
Source: RNAcentral